Molecule: ribosomal RNA, 774 nt
Filed under: uncultured Neocallimastigales
Lineage: Eukaryota; Fungi; Neocallimastigomycota; Neocallimastigomycetes; Neocallimastigales
Description: partial large subunit ribosomal RNA
Rfam family: Eukaryotic large subunit ribosomal RNA
Source: RNAcentral
AGAGAGAGACAUGCGCGCAUAUCAAUAAGCGGAGGAAAAGAAACUAACUAGGAUUCCCUCAGUAACGGCGAGUGAAGCGGGAAGAGCUCAAAUUUGAAAUCUUCAAGGUUCUACCUUGACGAAUUGUAGUUUAAAGAAGUGUUUUCUGUUGGAGUUUUGGUAAAAGUUCUUUGGAAUAGGACAUCAUAGAGGGUGAGAAUCCCGUAUUUGACCAUUAUUUCCAGCUUUGUGAUACACCUUCAAAGAGUCGGAUUGUUUGGGAAUGCAGUCCAAAAUGGGUGGUAAAUUUCAUCUAAAGCUAAAUAUUGGCGAGAGACCGAUAGCGAACAAGUACCGUGAGGGAAAGAUGAAAAGAACUUUGAAAAGAGAGUUAAACAGUACGUGAAAUUGUCGAAAGGGAAGCGUUUGACACCAGUGUUGUUUUCUCGAAAAUCAAUUAAAAAAGGCAGGAUUUUGUGUUGUAUUGACUUUAUCAGCUUUCUGCACUCUUUUCUUGUCUUUUUUAAUGCACUUUUCGUUUAACAAGUCAACAUCAAUUUCUUUUGUUGUAAAAGGGUCAUUGGAAGGUGGCUUUCUUUUCGGAGAAAGUGUUUAUAGCCUUUGGCCUCUGCAAUCGGAGAGAUUGAGGUCUGCAGCGUAGAUCCCUCGGGGUUAGAUACAUUUGUGCUAAGUUAUAGCCUUUCAUAGACAACUUGUUGACUAUGAUCAGUCAUGUAGCUUACUCGCUUAUGCUAUUUUACCUACGCUUAGGAUGUUGAUGUGAUACUGCGAGCA